GAGUGCUAUUCUCUUUCAUUCAAUUUUGUGCUUUUGGAAAUCAAAUUGGAUAUUUUUUUAUUUGGAAAUCGUUUUCCAUAUUCGUAAUAAGCCGGAUUUGCUAAACACGUGCUAUAUUGAAUUCUACGUGCAAAUGACGGUAAGAUGUGUACAUUGUGGUGCAGCCGAAUUUCCAAAUGAAACAGAUGGCAUGUGCUGUGCUAACGUCAAAGUGAAAUUGCCAACAAUUUAAUCUCCACCCGAUUCACUACGUUCGCUGAUUUUUGGAAUGGUAUCAACUCCGACACAUUUUUUGUCUCAUAUUCAAGAAUACAAUGCAUCAUUUUAAAUGACUUCUUUUGGUGCGACAAAAAUUGUAAGAGACAAUUUUAUGCCGACGUUCAAGAUUCAGGGUCAGAUUUACCACCGCGUUGGCUCAUUAUUACCAUAUCCUGAUACGGACCAUCAAUUCUUACAAAUCUAUUUCGUUAGAAAUGAAAAUCGCGAAUUGGAUCGGCGAUGUACAAUUGCUUCGAGGGCAAGGCGACAAAUUGUUUCUGAGCUUCAAACAUUUUUUCAUCAACACAAUGAAUUAGUUCGAAUAUUCAAAAUCGCUCUCGAUCGUAUGCCAUCGGCUAACCACAAAAUCAGCAUAAAAGCCGAUAGAUCACCCAUCGGAGAGCAUGAAAGACGAUUUAAUACACCGACAAUCGAUGAUGUGGCUAUUGUAAUUGUUGGGGACCAGUUUCAAUCUCGCGACAUCGUGCUACAUCGAAGAAAUGAGUCGUGACAUAAGAAGACAAUUUCAUUUUUAGAUGUGGCAAACUUUUCAAUCAAUACGCUGUUGACAUGUACGCAAAAAUAGAAACAGAACGUCUGAAUUACCUUCGAUUUAAUCAAGGAAAUUUACGAUCGGAAGAAUAUAUACAUUUGCGAGAUGCAAUAGUGAAUGAUGGUAAUGCAAAUGAUAUCGGACGUUUAACAAUAUUACCAUCCACAUAUGUCGGCAGUCCGCGUUACAUGCACAUACGUUCGCAAAUAUGGUCGACCAGACUUAUUUAUAACAUUUACAUGCAAUCCACAGUGGACGGACAUAAAUGAUAAUUUAUUUGUUGGUCAAAAACCAAAUAAACUGCGCGUGUUGAUUCAAAAAGUUACACCAAAUGAGAUUGAUCGCAUUAUAUCAGCCGAAAUUCCAGAUCCACAAUUAUCCCAAGUUGUUACGAAAAACAUGAUUCACGGCCCAUGCGGUGAACUAAAUUCGCCAUGCAUGAUCGAUGGAAAAUGCUCAAAGCGGUAUCCAAGAGCAUUGAUUUCCGAAACAAUAACAGGCAAUGACGGAAACCCAUCGUAUCGACGUCGGUCACCAGACGAUUUUGGAUAUACAACAACAAUUACAGUUCAUAAUAAAGACACUAUCAUACCAAAAUAUUUGAAGCUCACAUUAACGUUGAAUAUUGUAAUGCAGUGAAGUCAAUCAAAUAUAUAUGCAAAUAUGUCAGCAAGGGAAGCGACAUGGCUGUUUUUGGAGGGACAACAACUGGUGACAAUUGAUAUGAUGAAAUUUCACAAUAUCAAAUGGGACGUUACAUUAGCACUAAUGAAGCUCAUUGGAGAAUUUAUUCAUUUCCAAUGCAUGAGCGAUAUCCUGCUAUGGUUCAUUUGGCUGUUCAUUUGGAAAAUGGACAACGUGUUUAUUUUACUAAUUCAAAUGUGGAGCAGAGAGCGGUACAGCCACCAGCAACAACAUUAAAUGCAUUGUUCCAAUUGUGUGAAAGUAAUUAAUUUGCAGGAACAUUGCUGUUCAUUUGGACUGCAAAAAAAUGGCAACGACAUAAAAGAGAAGUUCCAGUUGAUGGUCAUCCAGGCGUUUUAUAUAAAGAUACUAUGGGAAGGUUGUACACAGUUCAUCCAAACAACGCAGAGUGCUUUUAUUUGCGACUGUUGUUGGUAAACGUUGUAGGACCUCGCUCAUUUCAACAUUUGCGAACAGUUAAUGGUCAUUUAUGUCAGACAUAUCGCGAAGCAUGUGAACACUUACAUUUGUUGGAAAAUGAUGUACAUUGGGACUUGACACUUCUUCUCCACAUUAAAUACGUAUGCUAUAUGCCAUAAUAUUAUCGACAUGCUUUCCAUCGAAUCCACUUGAUUUGUGGAAUAAAUAUAAUGGUUUAAUAGCCGAAGACUUUUUAAAUGGAAAUGUAUAACGAGGCAUUGAUAUCUAUUGAAGAUAUAUGCCUUGCGAUGGCAAAUAAAGCAUUAGGUCAAUUAGGUUUGCCUUCACCGAAUCGUCCAAUGCAUGAUUUGUUUGAUCGAGAAUUGCAACGUGAAAAACAGUACAAUAUCAAUGAAUUGCAAAUAUUUGUGAAUUGAAAUUUACUGAAAUUGAACGACCAACAAAAACAUGUUUACGAUACCAUUAUGCAAGCAGUACAAAAUGAUGUUGGUGGAUUGUAUUUUUUGGAUGCGCCUGGAGGUAGGGGUAAAACAUUUAUGGUAUCAUUGAUUUCGGCAGCCAUUCGGUCACAACAAAAAAUUGCAUUGGCACUUGCUUCGUCAGGAAUUGCUGCUAUUUAAUUGGAUGGUGGACGAACAGCACACUCAGCAUUUAAAUUGCUGUUAAAUGUGCAGGGUUGUUUGUAUUUAUUGAUUGAUCUAUUUAAAAUACAUUAGUGCUAAUUACUAUAUUAUUUUUGAACGUGCAGGUGAGUGACAAUCCCACAUGCAACAUAUCAAGAAAUUCUGGAAUGGCAAAAGUUUUGCAGCAAGCAAAAGAUGCAAGAUCUACGUCAAAUUUUUGGUGAUGCACUAAUAGUAUUUUUGUCGGAAGAUUUCCGACAAACAUUGCCCGUCAUUCCACGUGCAACGUUAGCGGAUCAGGUCAAUGCGUGCUUAAAGUAUUAUUUCCUGUUGCGACAUGUUCAAAAAUUGACAUUGAACAUAAACAUGCGUGUUCAAUUGCACAA
Long non-coding RNA from Drosophila yakuba, 2945 nucleotides. RefSeq lists it as uncharacterized. NCBI's taxonomy places the organism in Eukaryota, Metazoa, Arthropoda, Insecta, Diptera, Drosophilidae. The transcript has 5 exons. The record is from RefSeq and is a predicted model, not a curated record.